CGCCCAGAAAUUUUUCACCCCAAUUUAUUCGAGAUUAUUCCGGAAUAUUCUUAGCACAUUCGAAAAGAUCAACCAUUAAAAUUAUUCCAAGAGUAUUCUAAGAAUAACAUAAAAAUAUUCUUUGAACAUACUUAAAGAAUGAACUUUUGGAAUAUCCUGGGAAUAUUCUUGGAAUAAUUCAAAUUGGAUAAAGUUUUAAAUUUUUGUCAAAUGUGCCUAGCAUAUUCCAAGAACAUUCCCAAGAAUAAAUCUUGAAAUUAUUCCAAGAAUAUUCCAAAAGUGGAAGUGAACUUAGAAAAUUUUAAAAAUUAUUUUUUCCAAUGUCAAAAUUUAAGAAAAUUAAGCGGAAAUGUAUUAUGGCCAUAAAUAUAAUAAAUGAUAAAAUUAUUUUCUUAACAUUUUGCUAAUUUCAAAGAAUUAGUUAAUUCAAAAUUUUUUUUAAAUUCAUGCGACAAAGUUUUCACAGUGAGAAGUAAAAUUAUUUGGUUCCGAUAGUCAAUUAUUCCACAUUAGGUAUUAUUUUCAAUUAUUUUAUUGAAGCGCUUAAGAGAGCGUGGGAAAGUGGAAAAAGAAAGCUAAUGGAAUGCGAGGGGGAGGCGGGAGAGUAUAGUCAGCGUAAGCAGCGGCGGGCAAGCAAGCAGCGGCAGCACAAGGAGGGGGGAGGGAGUAGGCGGGCAGGCAAGCACCAAGCAGACUUCUGUCCUGCUUCGCUAUCAGGACCCUCUCCCUAAUUCCAGAAGCUUCCAUAUUCUCCAGCAGAAGCCAGAAAAUUCGCAUUAGGCUAUUAGCAUUACGUCAGCCGCGUCCCAACCGUCAACCGUCAACCGCGGCAGUGUUAGUUAAGUCAUUUAGUCAAUAAAUUUGAGCAGUUUGGCCAGUUUAUAUUGUGUGCAGUGCAGAAGAUAUGGCCUCGACUUCAAGAACUUCCAUACGCAGAAGCGGUCUUGACUUUCUGCUCCUCUACCUCUAUAUCUUAAAUUAAAGUGUGACGACCGGAGAUGUGGCUGCACCUCUACCGAAGACGAAGAGGGUUCGGUUAAUCUUGCAGCAGAGCAGAAUAAUGGCAUGCAGUGGUCCGAAGGAUACGUUUAGUCUAAUAAUAAUGACGAUAAGAUGCUGCAGCCUGUUCUGGUAGGAGGAACCUAAAGAAUUGGGAGACCAGCCGCAUUAGAGUAUCGGACACAAAGAAGACCUCAACGUGAAGAACAAGGCUGUCACCCUCAUCAUUGACUCUAAAAGCCACAAGAUGUGAAGUUUAGUGAGUGCGACGCUAGUGUAUGUGUUCUAGUUAACAGUUUUGAUCUAAAAUCCCGCAUUGGAUUUUGAGGUUUAUCCUUUCAUAGUAUGUACGCCCACUGAUUAAGUUUUUUUGCGUAUAUCAAAAUUUUACUAAUUGUUUUCUAUGAAAUUUUUAUCAGAACAGCUCUUUUUGGUUAAAUAUUGUGGGGCCAUUAUAUCCCUGUGGAUGAAAUAAGUCAUGUCUCUUUAAAAUUCUUUUUGUGUAAUUUGAAAUUGAUUGUCAAUUCACCAGUUGCAUAACUAAGCCGCCUUUGUUCUCGAAGCCGCUAAUAAAUGGUUCCGCCGUACACUUCGGUAUUAAAUUUUAAUAUAAGGCACUUCCGCUGCGACUUCAGACUCAAUCCUGCUGCUGUGCUUUCCCCUAUUACAAUUCUUCACUUAAUAUGCUUUCUGUAGACUUGUUAAAAUCCAACAUCGGUUAAUACAUUUGCUGUAGAAAUGUUGGAUACGAUUUUUUAUUUCAAACAAUAGUUUUAACGAUUCUACAGCGAUUGGCUGACCUGAUUUUGGUUUUCGACACGCCCAAAGAAAGCAUUUUGAGUGAAGAAUGCACAUCAGCAGCAGGAUAUGGUCUGAAGUCUCAGCAGAAGUGCCCUAAAAUAAAAUUUAAUACUGAAGUAUACGGUGGCCGGUGUGCCACCAAUUGUUGGCGGAUUUGAGCACUAUAAAGGCUUAUACAAUUGGUUUAUUCUGAAAUUUCUUCCAAGUUCUAACACUUUUGGAAGAUUUUUAGAAUAAUUAUCAAAUUUGUUCUCUGAAAGGUUCCUGAAAUAUUCAUUGCUCAAUUUACACAAAUACAAAUUAUCCUUAAGGUAAAAAUCUUCCAAAAUACCAUUAAAGUUUGUUCGAAGAAUUAUUUUAGGAUAUUAUUAAAGGUCAAUCUGUUCAAAAUGUUCUAAGAAUAGUCCAGAAAUAAUCUGUCCAAAAUUGUAAUUUGAAUUUCCAGGCGGGGAGUUUUCUAAUCUGUGUAGCCUAAUGCAAAUUGUUGUGUAUGCAGUGUAUUUACCUCUUUCUAUGUCCGUAUGUAAUUUUUUUAUCGAAAAUCAAUAAAACUCAAUUGAGAUUAUGUAACAAGAUAAUUGUGUUAUUAAAUUAAA
Molecule: long non-coding RNA, 2396 nt
Organism: Cloeon dipterum
Lineage: Eukaryota; Metazoa; Arthropoda; Insecta; Ephemeroptera; Baetidae
Exons: 3
Source: RefSeq, a predicted model, not a curated record